This 82-nucleotide transfer RNA is filed under the name Colletotrichum scovillei. It matches the Rfam family "tRNA". From Rfam's summary of the family: Transfer RNA (tRNA) molecules are approximately 80 nucleotides in length. Their secondary structure includes four short double-helical elements and three loops (D, anti-codon, and T loops). Further hydrogen bonds mediate the characteristic L-shaped molecular structure. tRNAs have two regions of fundamental functional importance: the anti-codon, which is responsible for specific mRNA codon recognition, and the 3' end, to which the tRNAs corresponding amino acid is attached (by aminoacyl-tRNA synthetases). tRNAs cope with the degeneracy of the genetic code in two manners: having more than one tRNA (with a specific anti-codon) for a particular amino acid; and 'wobble' base-pairing, i.e. permitting non-standard base-pairing at the 3rd anti-codon position. The record is from Rfam by way of RNAcentral. RNAcentral also lists the same sequence under 2 other names. Lineage: Eukaryota; Fungi; Ascomycota; Sordariomycetes; Glomerellales; Glomerellaceae.
GGCCGGUUGGCCCAAUGGCAAGGCGUCUGACUACGAUUCAUCAGUUAUCAGGAGAUUCUGGGUUCGACCCCCAGGCUGGUCA